UCCUUCCCAACAUGGGCACCAUGCCUUC
This 28-nucleotide non-coding RNA is filed under the name Homo sapiens (human). The record is from RNAcentral. Lineage: Eukaryota; Metazoa; Chordata; Mammalia; Primates; Hominidae.